Non-coding RNA from Bacteroidetes bacterium 46-16, 46 nucleotides. The record is from Rfam. Lineage: Bacteria; Pseudomonadati; Bacteroidota.
CCAACGGCUGCAGUUGCAGCCACUAGUAUAAAGUAAAUUAUUUUUU